Molecule: long non-coding RNA, 246 nt
Organism: Ochotona curzoniae (black-lipped pika)
Lineage: Eukaryota; Metazoa; Chordata; Mammalia; Lagomorpha; Ochotonidae
Exons: 3
Source: RefSeq, a predicted model, not a curated record
UGUACAAGAGGAGCAAGAGGUUCGAUGAAAAAAGCAGCCCUGUGGUUUGAUUACAAGGUGUAGCCCUGCGGCGUGCUUCAUGCUUCCAAGGCUGGAGAACACACGCACACCUUCAGUGUUGGUGUCAUUUGAAGAUGUGGCUGUGGACUUUACCCAGGAGGAAUGGCAGCACAUGGACAACACUCAGCGGACCCUGUACAGGGAUGUGAUGCUUGAGACUUAUAACAAUCUGCUGUCCUUGGGUGA